RNAcentral lists this non-coding RNA (28 nucleotides) under Rattus norvegicus (Norway rat). The record is from RNAcentral. Lineage: Eukaryota; Metazoa; Chordata; Mammalia; Rodentia; Muridae.
UAGCCCAAAGAGAUAAAUGACCCCAUCC